This is a long non-coding RNA of Mus musculus (house mouse), 1089 nucleotides long. RefSeq annotates it as predicted gene 2491. The record is from RefSeq and is marked validated. The transcript has 5 exons. Lineage: Eukaryota; Metazoa; Chordata; Mammalia; Rodentia; Muridae.
ACAUUUUAUCUGGUUAACACCAUGGUGGACAUGCCUGCUGUAAGGUGUCCCCUUAGGAAGUAGGCAUUUGCGACCACAGCGGAGGACACGGACCCUGUAAAUGGCAUAACCUUACUUUGCCUUGUAUCCCAGCCUUUGCGCUUCAUCACACCGGGGAUCUGGAGAGCCCUAUGCAGCUCAGAGAGCUGGCGGUAAUGCCCGCAGUGGACCUUCAGAAGAAAGCCUAUCACACAGGGUUGCUUCUUCUUCCAUAGCUCCUGGAUAUAUUUGUAUGUACUCAUCUUGGCUCACCUGAUGGCUGUCUCCAGAGGAAAGAAGUCUUUUUUUUCCCCACAGAUGAGCAUGGGACCACCAUUGACGAGUUGCCUGGUCUUAAACAUAGCAACUUCAGUGGUUCUCCUGGUUAGCCUCCGUUGUUAACAUGACACAGCACAGAUUUAUCUGAAGGAAUCUCAGCUGGGUGAUUGCUUUAAUCAGAUGGACUUGUGGGGCCAUUUUCUUCACUGACAAUUGAUGAAGGAGGUCCAGGCCCACUGUGGGUGGGGUGGUCCUUGGGCACAGGGACCUGGGCUAUAUAAGAAAGGUAGCUGAAAGGGAACAGGCCACUAAGUAGCAUUCCUCCAUGGUGCCAGUAGUCUUCCAUCUCCAGGAACUACUUGGCCCAGAUACUUGUACACUGAGUGUUCACUGAGCAGGAGGAAAGAAAACGAGUGGUACACUGAAUGCUCUCUUCCGAGAGAUACAUCCUGGAGGAAGGAAAUAAUGAUGUCACUGGCCAAGGGCCUCAACACAGCCAGAACACCUCUCCACUGUCCCUUUCCCCCAGACCAACUCCUGUCCAUCUCUCCUCAGAAAAGAGCAGGCCUCCAAGAGACAACAAUGAAACACAGGACAACAAGAUACAAUAAAGCAAGAAUUCUGAAAGUGUAUAUGACUCCUGCAGCCAAGAAGCCUCUGGUCUCUCAGCAGUCAAAACUAGGCACAAGGUAAAUGUAUGUCUAAUUUUCAAGAUCUGGGAACAUUAGUUUACAUCAUGGAUCUGACAACUGCAACCAAAGUACUGUUUGCGAUUAAAGUGAAAGAAACAUC